CAGCCGCCGCGGGAAUACAGAGGGUGCGAGCGUUAAUCGGAUUUACUGGGCGUAAAGCGUGCGUAGGCGGCUUUUUAAGUCGGAUGUGAAAUCCCUGAGCUUAACUUAGGAAUUGCAUUCGAUACUGGGAAGCUAGAGUAUGGGAGAGGAUGGUAGAAUUCCAGGUGUAGCGGUGAAAUGCGUAGAGAUCUGGAGGAAUACCGAUGGCGAAGGCAGCCAUCUGGCCUAAUACUGACGCUGAGGUACGAAAGCAUGGGGAGCAAACAGGAUUAGAUGCCCCAGUAGUCCCUGUCUCUUAUAA
Molecule: ribosomal RNA, 301 nt
Filed under: uncultured bacterium
Lineage: Bacteria
Description: partial 16S ribosomal RNA
Rfam family: Bacterial small subunit ribosomal RNA
Source: RNAcentral